Oncorhynchus tshawytscha (Chinook salmon) is the source of this 1034-nucleotide long non-coding RNA. The record is from Ensembl. NCBI's taxonomy places the organism in Eukaryota, Metazoa, Chordata, Actinopteri, Salmoniformes, Salmonidae.
ACUGCUCCUUCUGGGAGUGCCAAUAUGGCCGACCGGUGUCUCCAUAGCACUGAGGUAUAAGCCUCUCAUAGCUCAGCAUUCCAGGGUUUAUAUACAGCUCCACGGUGGAGGUGUCAUAAUACCUGAGGCUCCCGAAUGGCGCAGUGGUCUAAGGCACUGCAUCUCAGUGCUGGAGGCGUCACUACAGACACCCUGGUUUGAAUCCAGGCUCUAUCACAACCAGCUGUGAUCGGGAGUUCUAUAGGGUGGCGCGCAAUUGGUCCGGCGUUGGCCAGUGUAGGCCGUCAUUGUAAAUAAGAAUUUGUUCUUAACUGACUUGCCUAGUUAAAUAAAGGUUAAAUACUUUUUUUAAUUUAUUUUUUACAUAAAACCAAGUGGUCAAACAGGGAAAUGGUUCCAAUCAUUUUCCACCAUUCAUUUUAGAAACACUUAAAAUAGCUUACCCUGGCGUGACGUUUUGAUAACCAUGUAAGUCUCUAUCAGACAAGGUGACUUUUAUCAAUAUAUUCGACUCUAUUUACUUUCAGAUUCGAAAACGCUAAUUUAGCUAAUUUUCAUCAAAGUAGACAUGCAAAACUAUAAAUCCCUGCAAGCUCCUGCAUUUCAUCUCUAGCUGACACCUAACUAAAAGGAAUUGUGUCAAUUUAAAACUUGCACAAGACAGUUCACAGAAUUGUCAAUUUAAAGAAAUGUUGCACAUUUAUUCAUAACUACAUUUAGAUAACAAAGUUAAUCCAGAGAUGUUUUUACUUUUGCCUCGAUUCGGCAGUCUCGUCCAGAUCAUCAUGGCAUUUGUAUUUCUUUAUGAUAGCCACAUUAGCAGCUAAUUAGCAUUUACAUUUUGGGGGGUAAAUACAGGCGAAUAUAUUGAUAAAAGUUACCUUGUCCAAGAGGGAUUUACAUGGUUAUCAAAACGUCACACCACAGUAAGCCUACACAGCCCUUAUUUUAAGUGUUUCUAAAAUCUUCUACGGGAAAAAUGAAUGGUGUAAAAACGAUUGGAACCAUUUCCCUGUUUGACCACUAGGUUUUAU